Molecule: long non-coding RNA, 1834 nt
Filed under: Apteryx owenii (little spotted kiwi)
Lineage: Eukaryota; Metazoa; Chordata; Aves; Apterygiformes; Apterygidae
Description: lncRNA (ENSAOWG00000000423.1)
Source: RNAcentral
CUGUCACAAGCAGAGGAGCAGGCCUUCUGAACACUGGCAGUUUUUUGAAACAGGUUAGAGUUUCCUGCCUCUUAAUCAUUAAUCAGUUUGUUUUGUGUUUGACCCCAUUUAAUAGUAGUCAUUACUUCCAAGCUAAUCACAGCUCACUAGAGCAAGUCCUAUUUUUCUGAUUUUUAGAAGACGAAGGUGAGGGAGAGUGGAAGGAAUGAGAACACAAGAAAACGAAGAGAGACUGCAGACUGGAAGGGACAAUCACAUAAGAGAGAAAUUAGAAUUUCAGUCCAACAGCAUCUGUAUUCAAAGAGGGCUUUGUGUUUCAGCUGCAACAUCUAACCAGUAACUAUACGAUGCCUGGGAACAAAGGUAUUCCACUUUUCAGCUGGAUGCCAGAAAUUUCUGGCUAUGGCCUCAUCAUAACAGUGCUGAGCAACACACCAAGAUGUUGAAUGACUUGCCUCACUUUGAACAGCCUGUGGGUAUACUCAGGGACCAGAUGAACGUGCCUACUGGAUUGGGUUGCACCUUUGCAGCUCUGCAAGAGGGCUUGUCCAAAGCAGGGCAGUCUGGCCCGGGAGCAGCCUGGAGGGCAUGUUUCCUGAGGAAAACGAGGUGAGGAUCCCCCAGCCAUCGCGUGUGUCUCUCCCCCAGGCUUCCCACUGUCAAUGCCAGGUGGGGAGAAGACCACGUGGGAAAGAAAGACUGUCCUUAUCCUGGUCCACCCAUCCCCAGGCUGCUGGACAUUGCUGUUACUUCAUAACUGCCUUGGUCUUAUGUCAGUGCAAAAAAUCGUCAACCCAAUCACACCUUAUAAUCCUGUGUGCCUUCUGUUUGUAGAUGGUGAAAGCUGACACAGACAAGUUUUCUCGAUUUAAUCAUUAUAAAAUGCUCCACAUCCCUUGGUUUCCCCCUCCUUCUCCUUUUCUUCCCUCUUCCCCUCCCACAGCUGCCAUCCAGGGCUGCCAGCAUUGAUGCUUUUUGUCACGUUUUAUUGCUCCCUGCUGUACAUGCCUUUGGCACUUUUAGUCUUUCUCAGCUUUCAAAGCCUGGUAUCAUUUUGCUGGAAAGAUAAAAACUGUCCUCAUCUCUCUCCCUUUGAUUUUGUUUGGCAGGAUAAAAAGAAAACAGCAUUAUUACAGUCAUAAAGAACAAUUAAUAAUCCCUAUAUUUCAGUUCGCGGGUACCUCAAGGUUGACAGAUGAUGAAAGUGGUUUAAGAGUAAAGUGAUUCGGAGUGUGAGACAGAAUGAAUGUUGUGAUUAAUUAUAACAAAUCAGAUAACUGUAAUUUCAUCCAUGUCUCUGUACAGCCUGCUCCAUUGCUGCUUUGGAAACUCUGGCCUUGGAAACUACAUUCCUUGUGUAUGCAGAGAUCCUAGCCAAGGGUUAUGGGCUGUAAACAAGACUUAGCCACACCCUGAGACUUUCACAGCUUCACAUUCACUCCUUUCAUCCCCCAGACCAACCCUCUCCCCCAGGUCCCAAGUUCUUGCUCAGUGUCCCUGCCCAGCAGGGGUUUCAUCAGGUCUUCACUGUUCCUGUGGCCAAAAUCUCAAAUGCUGAUUAGGAGAGUGGGUUGAUGGAGACAGGGACGCUGCUUAUUUAAGAUAUUUCCCCACUAUUGAAAGAGAUAAUCAAACCUAUCUGGAAUGUUUUUGCUCAUACGUAAGCUUCCCACUGGUGUAACAGUGAUGGGGAGGUUCAUCAGAACAGCAAUGCCACUGAUGAAUUGGCAAACUGUCUCCACUGGUGACCUUGUUUUGAUGUCACAGUCAUUAAUUAUUGCCACUGUUCCUCUGGCAGGCAUCUUUGUUGGACAAGGUGGUGAGCAGCAUUGGG